This 188-nucleotide long non-coding RNA is filed under the name Castor canadensis (American beaver). RNAcentral's name for it is "NPPA antisense RNA 1 conserved region 1 (ENSCCNG00000025237.1)". It matches the Rfam family "NPPA antisense RNA 1 conserved region 1". Lineage: Eukaryota; Metazoa; Chordata; Mammalia; Rodentia; Castoridae. The record is from RNAcentral.
UGAAAGUCUGUUAGUAUCUCACCCCCCACACACACACAAGACAGAUUUUCCCUGACAUCCAGACAGUUGAUGCUAGGUCUGUAGAUGGUAAGACCUCAUGGCUGGCUCCUUGACAGUGCCAUCUGUCAUUGCUUUUUGUUCACAUUCUGUUUUUCAAGAAAUGUGACUUUCUUCUGUCUCCUUUCUGU